GGCACAGUCACACUGCCCAGAGGAUUACUAGAAAUGAUAGGCGUCGCUUUCCUGGCACAGACCUGGCACCAACAUCUGGCAGGUUUCUGGAGCCAGCUGCAGAGGGCAGAGGACUGAGCCACCUAUGAAAUGCCCAGUGGGCGACCCUGAAGCUGGGCAGGUCUGUGUGCGCUGGGGAGGAUUCCAGCAAUGAAGUGGAAAAGAAGUCAGAUAUAGGGCGAAUCCCAGAACUGCCAUUGACCACCAAGAACCUAGAGCCAGCGACAUCAUCUCAGAAGAUAAAAAUCUGUGGAAUGGAGAGGAUCAUCCCGACACCGUGGGGCUGCGUAGCGAUGGGGUUUCACCAUGUUGGCCAAGUUGAUCUUGAACUCCUGAGCUCAAAUGAUCCACCCACCUUGGCUCCCAAAGUACUGGGAUUACAGGCAUGAGCCACCCCACCUGGCCUAAAUGUACCGUCUCAAGGAGAAAAAGAGGAAGAGCGGAAGACCACGGCACAUGGCCUGUGAAUCACAUGCAGCAAGCUCUAACAACAGUUGAAACUCUGGGAUAUGAAUCUGAGAAGUUUCAGCAGAAAAACUACAUUGAGAAAUGAAAUUACCAAUGUAGCUGAAGAAGACAGCAUUUCUCACUUGAAACCAGGGAAAUUAAACGAAGACUGUAAAACAGAGAAAAAGCUGCCAUUUAGAAGUUGCCUGAAAAUGUAAAGAAACAGGUUUCAGAAAUAAAGUUGAAAACCUCUUGCAGUUUUUGUAAAGAACAAAUCAAUACUUCAAGACAACUGUUGUUCUAAUAUAGGGGAAUCAAAUUUUAUUCAGAAUAUAGAAAAUACUUUUCACAAUGCAUUUUUCAUAAACCUUCUACAGCUUACUCAGAGCUUUCAUUAUAUUCCUGGACCUUUAUUUCUUCCGUUUUCUUAAACAGUCAUGUUACUUU
Molecule: non-coding RNA, 933 nt
Organism: Callithrix jacchus (white-tufted-ear marmoset)
Lineage: Eukaryota; Metazoa; Chordata; Mammalia; Primates; Cebidae
Source: RefSeq, a predicted model, not a curated record